RNAcentral lists this transfer RNA (76 nucleotides) under Alphaproteobacteria bacterium. RNAcentral's name for it is "tRNA-Ile". It matches the Rfam family "tRNA". Rfam says of the family: Transfer RNA (tRNA) molecules are approximately 80 nucleotides in length. Their secondary structure includes four short double-helical elements and three loops (D, anti-codon, and T loops). Lineage: Bacteria; Pseudomonadati; Pseudomonadota; Alphaproteobacteria. The record is from RNAcentral. RNAcentral also lists the same sequence under 2 other names.
GGGGGGUUAGCUCAGUGGUUAGAGCAGGGCGCUCAUAACGCCUUGGUCGUGGGUUCAAGUCCCUCACCCCCCACCA